AUUAUUACCCGAGCCGACUGGGGCAAGUGCUAUUUGUCGAAGCUCCAUUUGUAUUUCAGCCAAUUUGGCAGCUUGCCAAGCCUUUAGUAAAGUCGUAUGCUUCUCUGGUACGGUUUUGCUCGGCGGAUGAUAUGAGAAAGGAGUAUUUUACAGAAUCAACACUUCCAGAAAGCUUUAGACAUUAACAACAUAUGCUGGUUUCUUCAUGUAUACAAAAAUCAUUCCAGUUAACCGAGACAACAUUCAAGACUUUGGAUUGGAUGGCACGAACACUAUGCUUCACCCUCCCUUUUUCAAUGCUUGCUUAUCCUUUUUACAUGUUGGCAGCAUCUGUUGAAGUUUUAAGGAAGGCGCAGUUGUGAUUGAAAAAUAGGGAAGCUUUGUGAAAUGUGAACGAGCCAUAUUGCAAUUUUAUGGGAAGAGGCGACCAUGGUGGUGGAGGUUUCUUCGUCGAUUAACUUCGUCUUUGUACCUGCUCUAGAUUCCAUUCGAUUUAGCGUUUUUUGUAGCUGGCGUUGGGUUAAUUAGGAUCGAUUGCCGCCGAAUGUUUUUAUUAGUUGUUUUCGUGGCGUUAAAUACUGGUGCUUUUCUUUGCCGAAGGUUUGAGAUGGUUAUUUUGUGAUUAAGGUACCUUAUUCUCUUAUGAUUUAAUUGAACUUAUUGUAGUGCUUUGCUUCAUGACUCAAAGUUUUUGAAUAAAGUCUUUUAAAUGAACAA
This is a long non-coding RNA of Helianthus annuus (common sunflower), 717 nucleotides long. RefSeq lists it as uncharacterized. The transcript has 4 exons. The record is from RefSeq and is a predicted model, not a curated record. NCBI's taxonomy places the organism in Eukaryota, Viridiplantae, Streptophyta, Magnoliopsida, Asterales, Asteraceae.